Molecule: long non-coding RNA, 557 nt
Organism: Microplitis mediator
Lineage: Eukaryota; Metazoa; Arthropoda; Insecta; Hymenoptera; Braconidae
Exons: 3
Source: RefSeq, a predicted model, not a curated record
GUGUUUUAAAUAUUUUCUCGCCGAGUUGUCUCCAUCUGUUGGCAACUGACUUUGAUGCCUUGGCGUUCGUUGUCAAUUUUCUGCCGUUCGAUCUUUCGCGCCAACCGGAGACUCCCAACCAUCGUAAAUUUUCAACAAGAUGGCAGCACAAGUAUCACACCGGCUUUUGUUUGCUCAAGCCCAUCUUUCACCUCGCAAUUUUCAAACACACUCUCAAUUACGUUGCCCAAUUUAUUUUUCCAUCGAACCUCAACAACUUAAACAUAAUUAAUUAUACUCAUUUCGUACAAAAAAAAAAAUUUCCAAUCAUAAACAUCAAAUGACAACAGAGCUCUCGGACUUACUUUCGUCAUCUGGCUCAGCAAACUGACCCCAAGCGACCGGCAGUAAAUCUGGAGUCAAGAUCAAUUCGCAGAUUCCGCAGGAAACUAAAAGUGAAAAUGAAUCUCGUCAGGGAGACGAGUUAAUUAGUCAAUAAUCUCGUCUCAUCUCAUCUGCUUGGUAUACUUAAGUAUUUAUGGUAAAGUAUACUCUUGCAUUUAUCUCUUUGUUUUCAU